RNAcentral lists this long non-coding RNA (256 nucleotides) under Malus domestica (apple). Its description in RNAcentral is "long non-coding RNA (MDOM_LNC001876)". The record is from RNAcentral. Lineage: Eukaryota; Viridiplantae; Streptophyta; Magnoliopsida; Rosales; Rosaceae.
GAUCUUUGAUUAUGUCAAAAGUCACUCCAAAAGGAGGGUGUCCACGACAUAGUUGGGGUUAAGCCACUUAGCCAUGGAGGCAAGUGAAUGCGCAACAAGGGAUCUCUAACUUUCAAACUGUUUGAGGGAGAAUACUCUAUGAUAUGAUUAAGAAUCUCUGGCCAGAGUAUGAAUGAGAUUUAGGAAGUUGUUCCAAAUCACAUUCAAGGUAAUCAUAUAAGCACACGAAUCACAUUGGAUAGUAGACAUGAAUAAA